GCAAAAUGUAGCUUAUAAAGAGCGUUGGUCUUGUAAAUCAAAGGUUGAAUAUAUUAUUUAUUUCUUUUGCU
This 71-nucleotide transfer RNA is filed under the name Holandriana holandrii. RNAcentral's name for it is "tRNA-Thr". Lineage: Eukaryota; Metazoa; Mollusca; Gastropoda; Amphimelaniidae. The record is from RNAcentral.